UACAGAGGGUGCAAGCGUUGUUCGGAAUUAUUGGGCGUAAAGCGCGUGUAGGCGGCUUUGCAAGUCGGGUGUGAAAGCCCUCGGCUCAACCGAGGAAGUGCGCCCGAAACUGCAGAGCUUGAGUACCGGAGAGGAUGGCGGAAUUCCCCAAGUAGAGGUGAAAUUCGUAGAUAUGGGGAGGAACACCGGUGGCGAAGGCGACCACCUGGACAAAGACUGACGCUGAGGUGCGAAAGCGUGGGGAGCAAACAGG
RNAcentral lists this ribosomal RNA (253 nucleotides) under uncultured bacterium. RNAcentral describes it as "partial 16S ribosomal RNA". It matches the Rfam family "Bacterial small subunit ribosomal RNA", at positions 524 to 776 of the family's 1533-position model. The record is from RNAcentral.